RNAcentral lists this ribosomal RNA (488 nucleotides) under uncultured bacterium. Its description in RNAcentral is "partial 16S ribosomal RNA". It matches the Rfam family "Bacterial small subunit ribosomal RNA", at positions 28 to 507 of the family's 1533-position model. The record is from RNAcentral.
GACGAACGCUGGCGGCGUGCUUAACACAUGCCAGUCGAACGCGCCUGUCCUCUGGGUUUCUGGGGGGUGGGUGAGUGGCGAAUGGGUGAGUAACACGUGAGUAACCUGCCCCCUUCUUCGGGAUAACGGUCUGAAAGGGCUGCUAAUACCGGGUAUUCACUGGUCUCCGCAUGGGGUCUGGUGGAAAGGUUUUUUUCUGGUGGGGGAUGGGCUCGCGGCCUAUCAGCUUGUUGGUGGGGUGAUGGCCCACCAAGGCUUUGACGGGUAGCCGGCCUGAGAGGGUGACCGGUCACAUUGGGACUGAGAUACGGCCCAGACUCCUACGGGAGGCAGCAGUGGGGAAUAUUGCACAAUGGGCGCAAGCCUGAUGCAGCGACGCCGCGUGAGGGAUGGAGGCCUUCGGGUUGUGAACCUCUUUCGCCCGUGGUCAAGCCGCGACGUGGGUCGUGGUGAGGGUAGUGGGUAAAGAAGCGCCGGCUAACUACGUG